Long non-coding RNA from Cynara cardunculus var. scolymus (artichoke), 588 nucleotides. RefSeq lists it as uncharacterized. The transcript is spliced from 3 exons. The record is from RefSeq and is a predicted model, not a curated record. NCBI's taxonomy places the organism in Eukaryota, Viridiplantae, Streptophyta, Magnoliopsida, Asterales, Asteraceae.
ACCGGCCAUGACAUUCGCCAUACAGCGAUCAUGAUACUCGCCUCCUGAAAAGAGUGGUUACGAUGACUACACCGGAUAUGACAAGUGUAUUGUCUCCCGCAACUUCAACUAUCACCGAAUUAGGAAUUUCUUAUGCGUGAUUUAACGGUUCGGUUUCAAGUUCCACUGAUGGUUCAAAGCUCUUCGCAAUUGUCUAAAUUUUAGGAUGGAUUCCUUUGGGAAAUCACCCUAGUUUUAGAGGUUCGGAAGAGUUUGGAGUGAAAAAGGGAUAAAAACAAGUAUUUUUUACAGCUUUGCGAGGCUAUGGUGUUUCGAGCACAUCUCACUUGUUGGAACUUGGAUUUAAGUGAUUCAAGAUGAUCUGGAAAGCCAACAAACGGCCAUACAACUUUGAAGUUUUGAGUUUCUGCAGAUUCGGGCUGCAUCUAAGCCGAAAUUGACGUUGAAGGCAAAAACGUGUUGCCUGACAGUAAAUGGAAACAAGUACAAGUCAUUAACAUAUCAUGGUGGAUCAUAGGAUUUUCAAAUCUUUUAUAUGCUUAAAAUUAUUUUCAUUGAGGGUGGACUAGGGGUGGUUUGGGAUUGCUU